RNAcentral lists this non-coding RNA (117 nucleotides) under Pan paniscus (pygmy chimpanzee). The record is from Rfam by way of RNAcentral. RNAcentral also lists the same sequence under 1 other name. Lineage: Eukaryota; Metazoa; Chordata; Mammalia; Primates; Hominidae.
GCCGGGUGUGGUGGCUUACACCUGUAAUCCCAGCACUUUGGGAGGCUGAGGUGGGUGGAUCACCUGAGGUCAGGAGUUGGAGACCAGCCUGACCAACAUGGUGAAACCCUACCUCUA